Molecule: ribosomal RNA, 790 nt
Filed under: uncultured Methanosarcina sp.
Lineage: Archaea; Methanobacteriati; Methanobacteriota; Methanomicrobia; Methanosarcinales; Methanosarcinaceae
Description: bacterial SSU rRNA
Rfam family: Archaeal small subunit ribosomal RNA
Source: RNAcentral
GCUCAGUAACACGUGGAUAACCUGCCCUUGGGACCGGGAUAACCCCGGGAAACUGGGGAUAAUACCGGAUAACGCAUAUCUGCUGGAAUGCUUUAUGCGUAAAAUGGAUUUGUCUGCCCAAGGAUGGGUCUGCGGCCUAUCAGGUAGUAGUGGGUGUAAUGUACCUACUAGCCUACGACGGGUACGGGUUGUGAGAGCAAGAGCCCGGAGAUGGAUUCUGAGACAUGAAUCCAGGCCCUACGGGGCGCAGCAGGCGCGAAAACUUUACAAUGCGGGAAACCGUGAUAAGGGGAUACCGAGUGCCAGCAUCAUAUGUUGGCUGUCCAGAUGUGUAAAAUACAUCUGUUAGCAAGGGCCGGGCAAGACCGGUGCCAGCCGCCGCGGUAACACCGGCGGCCCGAGUGGUGAUCGUGAUUAUUGGGUCUAAAGGGUCCGUAGCCGGUUGGUCAGUCCUCCGGGAAUCUGACGGCUCACCGUUAGGCUUUCGGUGGAUACUGCCAGACUUGGAACCGGGAGAGGUAAGAGGUACUACAGGGGUAGGAGUGAAAUCUUGUAAUCCCUGUGAGACCACCUGUGGCGAAGGCGUCUUACCAGAACGGGUUCGACGGUGAGGGACGAAAGCUGGGAGCACGAACCGGAUUAGAUACCCGGGUAGUCCCAGCCGUAAACGAUGCUCGCUAGGUGUCAGGCAUGGCGCGACCGUGUCUGGUGCCGCAGGGAAGCCGUGAAGCGAGCCACCUGGGAAGUACGGCCGCAAGGCUGAAACUUAAAGGAAUUGGCGGGGGAGCAC